CCUACGGGAGGCAGCAGUGAGGAAUAUUGGUCAAUGGGCGCGAGCCUGAACCAGCCAAGUAGCGUGAAGGAUGACUGCCCUACGGGUCGUAAACUUCUUUUAUAAAGGAAUAAAGUGAGCCACGUGUGCCUUUUUGUAUGUACCUUAUUACUAAGGAUCGGCUAACUCCGUGCCAGCAGCCGCGGUAAUACGGAGGAUCCGAGCGUUAUCCGGAUUUAUUGGGUUUAAAGGGAGCGCAGAUGGGUAGUUAAGUCAGUUGUGAAAGUUUGCGGCUCAACCGUAAAAUUGCAAUUGAUACUGGCAGUCUUGAGUACAGGUGAGGUAAGCGGAAUUCGUGGUGUAGCGGUGAAAUGCUUAGAUAUCACGAAGAACUCCGAUUGCGAAGGCAGCUUACUAAACUGCCACUGACAUUGAUGCUCGAAAGUGUGGGUAUCAAACAGGAUUAGAUACCCUGGUAGUC
Molecule: ribosomal RNA, 460 nt
Filed under: uncultured bacterium
Lineage: Bacteria
Description: partial 16S ribosomal RNA
Rfam family: Bacterial small subunit ribosomal RNA
Source: RNAcentral